Molecule: ribosomal RNA, 252 nt
Filed under: uncultured bacterium
Lineage: Bacteria
Description: partial 16S ribosomal RNA
Rfam family: Bacterial small subunit ribosomal RNA
Source: RNAcentral
UACGUAGGGCGCAAGCGUUGUCCGGAAUUAUUGGGCGUAAAGAGCUCGUAGGCGGCUUGUCACGUCGGGUGUGAAAGCCCGGGGCUUAACCCCGGGUCUGCAUUCGAUACGGGCUAGCUAGAGUGUGGUAGGGGAGAUCGAAUUCCUGGUGUAGCGGUGAAAUGCGCAGAUAUCAGGAGGAACACCGGUGGCGAAGGCGGAUCUCUGGGCCGAUACUGACGCUGAGGAGCGAAAGCGUGGGGAGCGAACAGG